AAAAUGCGAUACGUAAUGCGAAUUGCAGAAUUCAGUGAAUCAUCAAAUCUUUGAACGCAAAUUGCGCUCUCGGGAUAGGCCUGAGAGCACGCCUCUUUGAGCAUCGAUUCUACCACAAGUCGACGACGUCCUUGCAAAAGGAUGCGCAGUCGGACACUGAGCUUCGUCAGCCUCUGGCUGGCUUGCUUUAAAUAGAGCGAGAUGCACUGCUUCACGCUUCGUGAACCUUCCAAUACGUGACUGACUGCUCGUAUGCUGUUCUGAUCGGUGGUCGCAAUUGCAGCCGAACGUCACGAAAGUGACCACUCUUUUGAAUUAGAUCUCAAAUGAAGCGAGAAAACCCGCUGAACUUAA
This 354-nucleotide unclassified non-coding RNA is filed under the name uncultured fungus. RNAcentral's name for it is "sequence contains ITS1". The stretch from base 1 to 106 matches the Rfam family "5.8S ribosomal RNA", at positions 50 to 154 of the family's 154-position model. Lineage: Eukaryota; Fungi. The record is from RNAcentral.